UACGUAGGUGGCAAGCGUUGUCCGGAUUUACUGGGUGUAAAGGGCGCGUAGGCGGGAAUGCAAGUCAGAUGUGAAAUGCUGGGGCUUAACCCUGGAACUGCAUUUGAAACUGUAUUUCUUGAGUAUCGGAGAGGCAGGCGGAAUUCCAAGUGUAGCGGUGAAAUGCGUAGAUAUUUGGAGGAACACCAGUGGCGAAGGCGGCCUGCUGGACGACAACUGACGCUGAGGCGCGAAAGCGUGGGGAGCAAACAGG
Molecule: ribosomal RNA, 253 nt
Filed under: uncultured bacterium
Lineage: Bacteria
Description: partial 16S ribosomal RNA
Rfam family: Bacterial small subunit ribosomal RNA
Source: RNAcentral